This 492-nucleotide ribosomal RNA is filed under the name uncultured bacterium. RNAcentral's name for it is "partial 16S ribosomal RNA". It matches the Rfam family "Bacterial small subunit ribosomal RNA", at positions 29 to 507 of the family's 1533-position model. The record is from RNAcentral.
AGUGAACGCUGGCGGUAGGCCUAACACAUGCAAGUCGAACGGCAGCACAGUAAGAGCUUGCUCUUACGGGUGGCGAGUGGCGGACGGGUGAGGAAUACAUCGGAAUCUACUUUUUCGUGGGGGAUAACGUAGGGAAACUUACGCUAAUACCGCAUAUGACCUACGGGUGAAAGCAGGGGAUCUUCGGACCUUGCGCGAUUGAAUGAGCCGAUGUCGGAUUAGCUAGUUGGCGGGGUAAAGGCCCACCAAGGCGACGAUCCGUAGCUGGUCUGAGAGGAUGAUCAGCCACACUGGAACUGAGACACGGUCCAGACUCCUACGGGAGGCAGCAGUGGGGAAUAUUGGACAAUGGGCGCAAGCCUGAUCCAGCCAUACCGCGUGGGUGAAGGAGGCCUUCGGGUUGUAAAGCCCUUUUGUUGGGAAAGAAAAGCAGCAGGUUAAUACCCCGCUGUUCUGACGGUACCCAAAGAAUAAGCACCGGCUAACUUCGUG